AUGGCGUACCUAAAGCCGGAUAAUAUGAACAACAGUUUAAAAUCCAAAGAACUUGGCGGUAUCUUAUAAAAUCAGGGGAACCUGUCACUUAAUUCGAUAAUCCACGAGCGUCUUCACCUUUUUUUGAAUAACAGCCUGUGUACUGCUGUCGUCAGUAAACCUCUAAAAGAAAGUUUACAACUAUAUUACUUAUAUUCACGUCAAGUCAAAGUGCAGCUAAUAAAAAGGAGUAGAUGGGUUACAAUCUUAAUAAAGAUACGGAUACAUAAUUAACUAUAUGUUAAAGGUGGACUUGAUAGUAAUGACAUAAAAUCAUGAAACUAAAUCUAAGAUAUGCACACAUCGCCCGUCACUCUCGUC
This 360-nucleotide ribosomal RNA is filed under the name Mesenchytraeus armatus. Its description in RNAcentral is "partial 12S ribosomal RNA". It matches the Rfam family "Bacterial small subunit ribosomal RNA", at positions 875 to 1407 of the family's 1533-position model. The record is from RNAcentral. Lineage: Eukaryota; Metazoa; Annelida; Clitellata; Enchytraeida; Enchytraeidae.